GCACCGGUGGCUUAGUAGUGAGAGCGUCCGCCUCGGAUGCGGGAGGUCGCAGGUUCGAACCCCGGCUCAGGCA
This is a non-coding RNA of Potamilus streckersoni, 73 nucleotides long. Lineage: Eukaryota; Metazoa; Mollusca; Bivalvia; Unionida; Unionidae. The record is from the annotation of a GenBank genome assembly.